UGGUCCCGUGCUGUCGGUGUCGGGAGCGGGAAGCAUGGGCGACAGGUGGGAGCUGGGGGCCGCGGCGGGCGGUUCUCUGCUGCUGUGCGCCGCGCUGCUGGCGGCGGGUUGCGCCCUGGGCCUGCUCCUGGGCCGCGGGCGGGGGGCGGCGGACCGCUGGGCGCUGGUCUGGCUCUGCUACGACGCGCUGGUGCACUUCGUGCUGGAAGGCCCUUUUGUCUACUUGUCUUUAGUAGGAAACGUUGCAAAUUCCGAUGGCUUGAUAGCUUCUUUAUGGAAGGAAUAUGGCAGAGCUGAUGCGAGAUGGCUUUAUUUCGAUCCAACCAUUGUGUCUGUGGAAAUUCUGACUGUCGCCCUGGAUGGGUCUCUGGCGUUGUUCCUCAUUUAUGCCAUAGUCAAAGAGAAAUAUUACCGGCAUUUCCUGCAGAUCACCCUGUGUGUGUGUGAGCUGUACGGCUGCUGGAUGACCUUCCUCCCAGAGUGGCUCACCAGGAGCCCCAACCUCAACACCAGCAACUGGCUCUACUGUUGGGUUUACCUGUCUUUUUUUAAUGGUGUGUGGGUUCUGAUCCCAGGACUGCUACUUUGGCAGUCACGGGUAGAACUCAACAAAAUGCAUCAGAAAGAAACCAGUUCAGUGAAAAAGUUUCAGUGAAUUUUCAAAACCAUAAACACUAUGCUCUGACUUUUUGAGCCAGAAUGAAUCAAAUGUUUUUGUUUGCCCAAAAUGUAAUACAUUCCAGUCUACGCUUUCUUUUUGUAUUUUUGCUCCUGAACAACCUGUUUCAAAGGUUUUAAGGCGACCCGUUUUCAUUGUGGUGGUGGUGUCCAAUUAAAUGGGGAGAUGGGGAAAAGAGAACAAGUCAAACUUACAAUAAUAACACACUUAAUUAUACAUUUUAUGUCUGGCAUUAAUUGUUCCACAAUAGUAAAACCAAUUGUCUUAG
Molecule: RNA transcript, 947 nt
Organism: Sapajus apella (tufted capuchin)
Lineage: Eukaryota; Metazoa; Chordata; Mammalia; Primates; Cebidae
Gene name: emopamil-binding protein-like pseudogene
Exons: 1
Source: RefSeq, a predicted model, not a curated record